CCUAUUUCUUAAUCUAGAACAUUCAAGGAUGACUUUUUUCCCAAUGAAAAUAUGAUAAAUGAUUGUGAAGAACUCAUUAAUAACUCAAGCACGCAUGCUGUUUCUGUUCAAAAGUCAGAAGUAAAAAUGCACACUGAUAUUAAUGAGAUUUUAAAUAAAAUUAAAUUGGGGAAGAAUUUGAGAAAAUCAUAUGCACCGAUAUUUGAAGUAAAUCUACGCUUGCAAAUUCCCGCUGAGAGUGAUUCCUCAGAAAAUUCUGAAGAGAGUUUUUAUGAGCCUGAGCAGGACCCUAAAAAAUGUAUGACAUAUGAAGAUGAGAUGUCAAAAAGCAGUCAAGAAAAAAGUUGCUUAAGUGAACAACUGUUCCCUAAUCCCAAGAAACCAAAAAAUUUUACUUUCAACCUUGAAGAUAUCCUUUCAGGUAUGACAAGUGAGACCCCUAGAAAUGAAGGGAAAUAGCUUAACAGCUAGAAGACAAGG
RNAcentral lists this long non-coding RNA (480 nucleotides) under Fukomys damarensis (Damara mole-rat). RNAcentral describes it as "lncRNA (ENSFDAG00000028055.1)". Lineage: Eukaryota; Metazoa; Chordata; Mammalia; Rodentia; Bathyergidae. The record is from RNAcentral.